This 301-nucleotide ribosomal RNA is filed under the name uncultured bacterium. RNAcentral describes it as "partial 16S ribosomal RNA". It matches the Rfam family "Bacterial small subunit ribosomal RNA", at positions 509 to 807 of the family's 1533-position model. The record is from RNAcentral.
CAGCCGCCGGGGUAAUACAGAGGGUGCAAGCGUUAAUCGGAAUUACUGGGCGUAAAGCGCGCGUAGGUGGUUUGUUAAGUUGGAUGUGAAAGCCCCGGGCUCAACCUGGGAACUGCAUCCAAAACUGGCAAGCUAGAGUACGGUAGAGGGUGGUGGAAUUUCCUGUGUAGCGGUGAAAUGCGUAGAUAUAGGAAGGAACACCAGUGGCGAAGGCGACCACCUGGACUGAUACUGACACUGAGGUGCGAAAGCGUGGGGAGCAAACAGGAUUAGAUACCCCCGUAGUCCCUGUCUCUUAUAC